ACACUUUCUUUGCCCUUGUGACUCAGAUAAAAUGUAGUAUCUGCUCUUUUUACUCAAAUUUCUGAAAACUUUUCUAAGAAACGAGAUAUUAAUCUAGUAUUUGGGCUCUGUGGAACGGCCUCGGUGCUUAUACAUGUCCUACCAUAUAGUGUCAUCGGGCUUACACAACCCCAAGAGAUGCGAAGACCC
This 189-nucleotide small nuclear RNA is filed under the name Aspergillus ruber CBS 135680. RNAcentral's name for it is "U2 spliceosomal RNA". It matches the Rfam family "U2 spliceosomal RNA". From Rfam's summary of the family: U2 is a small nuclear RNA (snRNA) component of the spliceosome (involved in pre-mRNA splicing). Complementary binding between U2 snRNA (in an area lying towards the 5' end but 3' to hairpin I) and the branchpoint sequence (BPS) of the intron results the bulging out of an unpaired adenosine, on the BPS, which initiates a nucleophilic attack at the intronic 5' splice site, thus starting the first of two transesterification reactions that mediate splicing. The record is from Rfam by way of RNAcentral. Lineage: Eukaryota; Fungi; Ascomycota; Eurotiomycetes; Eurotiales; Aspergillaceae.